RNAcentral lists this ribosomal RNA (253 nucleotides) under uncultured bacterium. RNAcentral describes it as "partial 16S ribosomal RNA". It matches the Rfam family "Bacterial small subunit ribosomal RNA", at positions 524 to 776 of the family's 1533-position model. The record is from RNAcentral.
UACGUAGGGUGCAAGCGUUGUCCGGAUUUAUUGGGCGUAAAGAGCUCGUAGGCGGUCUGUCGCGUCGGAUGUGAAAGCCCGGGGCUCAACCCCGGGAGGCGGGCGGAUACUGUCGGGCUAGAGUCCGGAAGAGGCGAGUGGAAUUCCUGGUGUAGCGGUGAAAUGCGCAGAUAUCAGGAGGAACACCGGUGGCGAAGGCGGGUCUCUGGGCCGAUACUGACACUGAGGAGCGAAAGCGUGGGGAGCGAACAGG